GAUGAACGCUGGCGGCGUGCUUAACACAUGCAAGUCGAACGAAGCACUUAAGAUUGAUUCUUCGGAUGACGUCUUUUGUGACUUAGUGGCGGACGGGUGAGUAACGCGUGGGUCACCUGCCUCACACAGGGGGAUAACAGUUAGAAAUGACUGCUAAUACCGCAUAACCCGAUAGGAUCGCAUGAUCCAGACGGAAAAGAUUUAUCGGUGUGAGAUGGACCCGCGUCUGAUUAGCUAGUUGGUGAGGUAACGGCCCACCAAGGCGACGAUCAGUAGCCGGCCGGAGAGGGUGAACGGCCACAUUGGGACUGAGACACGGCCCAAACUCCUACGGGAAGCAGCAGUGGGGAAUAUUGCACAAUGGGAGAAACCCUGAUGCAGCGACGCCGCGUGAAUGAAGAAGUAUUUCGGUAUGUAAAGCUCUAUCAGCAGGGAAGAAAAUGACGGUACCUGACUAAGAAGCCCCGGCUAACUACGUG
Molecule: ribosomal RNA, 479 nt
Filed under: uncultured bacterium
Lineage: Bacteria
Description: partial 16S ribosomal RNA
Rfam family: Bacterial small subunit ribosomal RNA
Source: RNAcentral